RNAcentral lists this long non-coding RNA (244 nucleotides) under Prunus persica (peach). RNAcentral describes it as "long non-coding RNA (PPER_LNC002195)". Lineage: Eukaryota; Viridiplantae; Streptophyta; Magnoliopsida; Rosales; Rosaceae. The record is from RNAcentral.
ACGGAUUAUGAUUGGGGGUACGCCUAGGUGGAGAGUUUUAAGUUUUGAGAUGUUUUAAACAAAAAUUGAUGAUUUUAUCUUGGUACUUAUUGGUGAAAGGUUUAAUACAUGUUUUCAGAGUUAUGAGACAAGGAUUGAGAGUUUUCUAAGUUUUAAGGAUUUUAUACAAUUCACAACUAUUUUCUUAAGUGAUGAGUUUAUUUUUACAUGUGAAAGAUGGAAGCAUGUUUUAUUCAAACCGUUG